UAUAGAUGUUAGUUGGUGGUGUGUAAUAGUUGUAUAUAGAUGUUAGUUGGUGGUGUGUAAUAGUGGUAUAUAGAUGGAGGGUUAGUUGAUGGUGUGUAAUAGUGGUAUAUAGAUGUUAGUUGGUGGUGUGUAAUAGUGGUAUAUAGAUGGAGGGUUAGUUGGUGGUGUGUAAUAGUGGUAUAUGAAUGUUAGUUGGUGGUGUGUAAUAGUGGUAUAUAGAUGGAGGUUGGUGGUGUGUAAUAGUGGUAUAUAGAUGUUAGUGUAAUAGUGGUAUAUAGAUGUUAGUGUAAUAGGGGUAUAUAGAUGUUAGUUGGUGGUGUGUAUUAGUGGUAUAUAGAUGUUAGUUGGUGGUAUGUAGUAGUUGUAUAUAGAUGUUAGUUGGUGGUAUGUAAUAGUGGUAUAUAGAUGGAGGGUUAGUUGAUGGUAUGUAAUAGUUGUAUAUAUCUGUUAGAUGGUGGUGUGUAAUAGUUGUAUAUAGAUGUUAGUUGGUGGUAUGUAAUAGUGGUAUAUAGAUGGAGGGUUAGUUGGUGGUAUGUAAUAGUGGUAUAUAGAUGUUAGUUGGUGGUAUGUAAUAG
Molecule: long non-coding RNA, 575 nt
Filed under: Salmo salar (Atlantic salmon)
Lineage: Eukaryota; Metazoa; Chordata; Actinopteri; Salmoniformes; Salmonidae
Description: lncRNA (ENSSSAG00000082286.1)
Source: RNAcentral